GUAACCUGCCCAGAAGUAGGGGAUAACACCUGGAAACAGAUGCUAAUACCGUAUAACAGAGAAAACCGCAUGGUUUUCUUUUAAAAGAUGGCUCUGCUAUCACUUCUGGAUGGACCCGCGGCGUAUUAGCUAGUUGGUGAGGUAAAGGCUCACCAAGGCAGUGAUACGUAGCCGACCUGAGAGGGUAAUCGGCCACAUUGGGACUGAGACACGGCCCAGACUCCUACGGGAGGCAGCAGUAGGGAAUCUUCCACAAUGGACGCAAGUCUGAUGGAGCAACGCCGCGUGAGUGAAGAAGGGUUUCGGCUCGUAAAGCUCUGUUGUUAAAGAAGAACGUGGGUAAGAGUAACUGUUUACCCAGUGACGGUAUUUAACCAGAAAGCCACGGCUAACUACGUGCCAGCAGCCGCGGUAAUACGUAGGUGGCAAGCGUUAUCCGGAU
Molecule: ribosomal RNA, 442 nt
Filed under: Pediococcus sp.
Lineage: Bacteria; Bacillati; Bacillota; Bacilli; Lactobacillales; Lactobacillaceae
Description: bacterial SSU rRNA
Rfam family: Bacterial small subunit ribosomal RNA
Source: RNAcentral